AGGGAUAUAGCUCAGUGGGACAGUGGGUGCUUAGCAUGCACAAGGUCCUGGGUUCAAUCCCCAGUACCUCCA
RNAcentral lists this transfer RNA (72 nucleotides) under Camelus bactrianus (Bactrian camel). It matches the Rfam family "tRNA". Rfam says of the family: Transfer RNA (tRNA) molecules are approximately 80 nucleotides in length. Their secondary structure includes four short double-helical elements and three loops (D, anti-codon, and T loops). Further hydrogen bonds mediate the characteristic L-shaped molecular structure. tRNAs have two regions of fundamental functional importance: the anti-codon, which is responsible for specific mRNA codon recognition, and the 3' end, to which the tRNAs corresponding amino acid is attached (by aminoacyl-tRNA synthetases). tRNAs cope with the degeneracy of the genetic code in two manners: having more than one tRNA (with a specific anti-codon) for a particular amino acid; and 'wobble' base-pairing, i.e. permitting non-standard base-pairing at the 3rd anti-codon position. RNAcentral also lists the same sequence under 1 other name. Lineage: Eukaryota; Metazoa; Chordata; Mammalia; Artiodactyla; Camelidae. The record is from Rfam by way of RNAcentral.